Molecule: RNA transcript, 1524 nt
Organism: Rhagoletis pomonella (apple maggot)
Lineage: Eukaryota; Metazoa; Arthropoda; Insecta; Diptera; Tephritidae
Exons: 3
Source: RefSeq, a predicted model, not a curated record
UGGCUUUUAGUAACUUCAACGAAAGCUUAACUUAUUUUAUUCAUUUAAGUGCAGUUUUACAAAUCUUUUGUUAACUACCUUAUUUUAUUCCUUUGAUUGUACAUGUUAAACAAAAGCUUGUUUUAAAAAAAAAUUUUUUUAAAUUAUUUUAUUUCUGGUGGUCUUCUUGCAUGUUGUAGCAGAAGUUGGUUAUAAUAGAACUUAGGCAGGGAACUUCUGUUGUUAAUGGGAGCGACAAAGCCUCAGCCGCUUUGCUGUCAGCCAUCUCGUUUCCUUUUAUUCCGACAUGUCCUGGGAGCCACAAUAUUUUUAUUGUAGGGCCUUGAUAUUUAAGUACAUGCUGAAUUAAAUUGCUGUUUCUGGUAGAUGCAAGAUGUUUAACAACGCUUAAGCUAUCGGAACAUGUUAAAGCUUUGCGAUUUGUUGAUGCUGCGUGUUUGAUAGCCCGCUGUAUUGCCCACAAUUCUGCAUUGAAGAUACCUGUAUGCGGCGGUAACAACGCUUGAAUCAAGGUUUUGAACGAGUUCGUAGCCGUUUGUUCAAUUACAGCGUAACUAUUUCAUUUCAUUUCAUUUAAUAAUCAAUAAGCAAUGUGUUUACCGACUAUAUUACAAAUUUAUAAAACAGGAUAACGUAAAAAACUAUGUCAAAUUCAAUGGCACAUUUUGUCAAAUUAAUGGAAACGCUUGCCAUUCGGUGCCAUUGCCAUCUUUUGUUAAUCUAUGAUAAAAGUUUUAAUCACAGAAUGGCAACUCAGUGAAAACACCAAAGUUUGUGCUUCGAAAUCAAUCAGUCAAUCAAAAUAUUGUCAAAUGGCAUCACAAAUCAAAUUGACAACCUGUUGAAAUUUUCCCGCAUUUUUUAAGAAUAAACAUACAAAGCAGCAGUGAGAUACUAAUUGUGCUAUUUUUGCAAUACAUUGUAAUGGAAGAAAGCUACGAAAUCAUCGCAUCUGCAUCCCAAGAUAGCAGACCAGCAAAGAAGGGAAUCCGGAAACUCGAAGCAAAAUGGACAAGCGCGGAGACGGAGAAAAGCGCUCUGGAAGGAGAUAGCUGGCGAAAUGAAGAUGGCACCGUCCGAAAUAAAAAACAAGUAGAACAGUUUGCGUUGCUCCUUCGGGACAACUUUAAACAAAAUGAAUUCAACAAAGAGUGGACAAGGAGCUUCUACCAAGCAACUACCACAAAUCUUCCAUUUGUUAAAGUUUCUAGAACCGACUUUGCGAUUGGAGGCACCAACAAUUUCAAAUUUGCAUAGUAUGUAUGCAUAAUUUACAGUACACAUAUUUUGUUCUAUUGUAUUAUUAAUUUCGUUUCCUUGUAGGACUUGGGUACUUUGGAUACCAUUGAAGAAAAUGAGAACACUCAGACACCAACUAUUGUCGCGAGACGACGCCGUAAUGACGAUUCGUCGUAUAUUAAAGUAGUAGAACGCGCUUUGGGGACCAUGAGGCGAAACACAUACACAAAAUCAGCUGAUCUAGUAACACCACCUUAUAUAAAUUCGCCUUGUGACCUGGUCUAC